UAGAGAACACAAAAUGAGACUAAGACAGAUUAAGAUUUCCUAAAGCUGGAAAGAUGAUCUGAACAAGGUGCAGAAUGAGGAGGAUGAAAUGAAAAAAGAGAGAUCCAGGGUGCACUUGAAACACAACUGUGAGCCAUUCAAAUCCCGUGCUGUUUGAACGUGCAGCACACUGUCUGAGCACCACUGCUGACUCUGCCUGACAUCUCCUUACAUCACCUCCGAGCAGCACAGAGACGGCACAGGAACACACUGCUCUCCUUGUUUCAGCUUCACAAUGUUACGAGACUGCCAUCUCCCUCUGACGUACAACAAUCGUCCCGGGAUAAAUCACCAGAGGAAACGCAGAUUUAAAAGUUACUACACCCACAACAGCCUCAUACCACCGGAACGCCGUGCAUCCGUUUGUGUUGAUCUGUCUCUCUUUCUCUUUCUGCCUACACAUGUGACCUACAGAUGGAUUAAAACACUUCAGGUCUCUUUAAACGCCCAAACGCCCACCUUUGAUGGGAAGCAACAAGUUGCGUUUUCUCUCUGAGGGCUGUCAUGAAGCAUUCUGGGAGACAGAGGGAAGCGGUUAAGUAGAUGAGGCAGGUGGAGGCAAACGGAGAGUAAAUAACCUCUGGAAAUGCAAAGAAGAUCAGAGAAUUAUGAGAUCUGAAACAGCAUCCAAGGGUGGUUUUGUCCGCUUUGAUUUCAGCGUGAUGGAUGAUGAGAAGAUCAGCUUCCUCCUCCGUCUGAAUGACUUAGUUGCAGGCUGCUAACCUGGGGAAUCCACGACUUGGAAACAAUAAAUCAGGCUGCAACUGGAGUCCAUCAUAAGCUUCUUUUUUCAAAACUACAACAGAGACCAGGCUUUCAAAUCCAGUUUGGUGCUUUAGAUAUCACCAGGGAAGCUCAGGGAAGCUCAGGAUGUUGACAUAACUGGAUUGAGAGAGCACGUUUAACCUUUUAAAUUCAGAUU
Notolabrus celidotus (New Zealand spotty) is the source of this 961-nucleotide long non-coding RNA. RefSeq lists it as uncharacterized. NCBI's taxonomy places the organism in Eukaryota, Metazoa, Chordata, Actinopteri, Labriformes, Labridae. The record is from RefSeq and is a predicted model, not a curated record. The transcript has 3 exons.